This is an RNA transcript of Urocitellus parryii (Arctic ground squirrel), 5298 nucleotides long. It is a transcript of the gene named zDHHC palmitoyltransferase 3, with no coding region annotated. Lineage: Eukaryota; Metazoa; Chordata; Mammalia; Rodentia; Sciuridae. The record is from RefSeq and is a predicted model, not a curated record.
GGCUGCCGCCCCUGCAGCCGCGGCCGCCACAGCCGCCGGGAGCUCGAUGGGCUUCUGCGCGCCGUCCGGUAUCUGGCUGAGUCGGGCGAGCCGUGGCGCCUCGUGCCGGGGAGCCAUUGCCGCAGCCCGAAGCCAGGUCCCGAGUGAGGGACUGCAGCAAGAGGCGACGGCGUCGGCCGCGGGAGCCCCCCCGGGGGUCUGGGACUGGCGAACCGCCUCCGGCUUCACGAUGCCAGUAUGGACAGAAUAGCUUAUGAUGCUUAUCCACACCCACCACUUUCGAGACAUUGAGCGCAAGCCGGAAUACCUCCAGCCGGAGAAGUGUGUCCCACCUCCCUACCCUGGUCCUGUGGGAACCAUGUGGUUUAUCCGCGACAGCUGUGGCAUCGCCUGUGCCAUCGUCACCUGGUUUCUGGUCCUCUAUGCAGAGUUUGUGGUCCUCUUUGUCAUGCUGAUUCCAUCCAGAGACUAUGUAUACAGCAUCAUCAAUGGAAUUGUAUUCAACCUGCUGGCCUUCUUGGCCCUGGCCUCCCACUGCCGGGCCAUGCUGACGGACCCCGGGGCAGUGCCCAAAGGAAAUGCCACUAAAGAAUUUAUCGAGAGUUUACAGUUGAAGCCUGGGCAGGUGGUAUACAAGUGUCCCAAAUGCUGCAGCAUCAAGCCCGACAGAGCCCACCACUGCAGUGUUUGUAAGCGGUGCAUUCGCAAGAUGGASCACCACUGCCCUUGGGUCAAUAAUUGUGUCGGCGAGAACAACCAGAAGUACUUCGUCCUGUUUACAAUGUACAUAGCUCUCAUUUCCUUGCACGCCCUCAUCAUGGUGGGAUUCCACUUCCUGCAUUGCUUUGAAGAAGAUUGGACAACUGUCUACCUCAGUUUGUUAAAUCUACUGCAAGACUAUGGAGAGAACAGGGAAGGAACAGCAGAGGCCCAAGUCUAUCUUCAUGAAAGAGAGCAGCCCCCAAAAAUCAGUUUAACAGAGUGCAGCUCCUUCUCACCACCCACCACGGUGAUCCUCCUCAUCCUGCUGUGCUUUGAGGCGCUGCUCUUCCUCAUUUUCACGUCAGUGAUGUUUGGGACCCAAGUGCACUCCAUCUGCACGGAUGAGACGGGAAUAGAACAAUUGAAAAAGGAAGAGAGAAGAUGGGCUAAAAAAACAAAAUGGAUGAACAUGAAAGCAGUUUUKGGCCACCCCUUCUCUCUAGGCUGGGCCAGCCCCUUUGCCACGCCAGAUCAAGGGAAGGCARACCCGUACCAGUAUGUGGUCUGAAGGACCCCUGACCAGCAUUGCCACUCAGACACAAACCACAUCACAGCACUAUCGUCCGAUCUGUUCUCAUGAAUGUUUAGACCGAAAAGCAAAUCAACUACUCUAAAACUUUUUUUAUGUCUCAAGUAAAAUGGCUGAACAUUGCAGAGAAAAAAAAAUCCCCAUGUUUUAUUUUUUAAAAAUCAUCCUUUUUGAUUUUUUGAUGACCGAAGCUGCUCUUCUUUUUCCUUUUAAAAUCACUUCUCUGGCCUCUGGUUUCCUCUCUGCUAUCUGUCUGGCAUGACUAACGUGGAGGGUGCUGUCUCCAGGCCGUGUCCAUUUCUACUAAUUGAGUGAGACAUGAUGCUGUGCGUGGAUGGACUGGCCUGGUAGGAAAGCCAGGAGGGCCCUGGCCUCCCACUGCCCAGGAGGCAGUGGCAGGAGCCCAUGGGACUUAAAACUCACUGAAGAUGGAUAUUUGCCCCUUGAGGCCUGAGAAGGGCAGGAUCAGGGCUGGAGCCUUCAGAAGGGCCGGUGGCUCAGCAGCCUCCUCCCCMAAGUGGACACGGUUUGCCUCCUCAUUCACAAAAUYAGUUAUUCUGCCUWGUACUUUAUGGGYCUGGGGUGUGUAGAAUAAUUUUGGUGGGGAAGGGGAGAGAGUUGAAGGGGUCUAAUUUGUAUUCUAAAUCAGCAGUUUUAUCCCUCUGAUGAUUUCAGAAGAAAAUGAAGGAAAGGAGUUUUUCCAUUUCAAAAUGCCCUGUACAAUCAAAGGGGUGGGGGGCCAUGCAGUUUCAGGCAAGCUACUAUGUUACAACUUUGUCACAACUACUUCCUCCCUGACCGCCCCAUCUCCCUCCCUUCCCUGGCGAGAUAUCAAUUAAGCAGUGUUGAUUCUGGGUGGAACACAUGUGCCCCACCGUCAAGCCCUUCUCAUUUUGUAAAUCUCUAACAUGGGUCCACUUUCUGYUAUUUAAGAGCCAUGGAAUGUGCGUACCCUUGUCUUAUUUUAACCUAGGAGACUGUUGUCCUGGCAUGGGGCUAACCAUGAUCUGGGACAACAUUUUUAAUGUUGACAGAAGAAUGUCCGCUCACUGGACUGAGCAGGGGCACCUGGCCCUGCUGCACUGAGGAAGGCCAGCCUUCCCAUGGGAGGCACUUACUCCACUGGGUCUCAUUUGAAAGAGGUGGUGACAAGCUAGAGGAAGGACCAAGAGUGGUGGGGAGAGGUGAGGAGAUAGGGAGUGCCCUCAGACACAAAAAUAACCAAUCUGAAUCCUGACCAUCUGUGAAUUCCUACACACUGAUUUGUUUUUUAAGCRAUUGUCACAAAUCUCCCUUUUUAGCUUUUGCUUGGGGUGGGGGCGGGGGAUAAGAUUUAUUCAGUCUAGGCCUGGGUAGGGAGAAAGUUAAUCUAGCCAUGUGAUUUUUCAGAAAAGUCAGUGGAACAUGCUCCCUCUUUUAAUUCUGUCAGUGCUUCCACAUGGAAACAAUGCAAUAAAACUUUUCCAAAACCUGCUCUGAUUUAGCUUUCCUCUCUCCCAUGUUACCCACAGAGGAGGGUAGAUCGCCCAUAGCUGCUGAGGUUUCUCUGCUGGAGUGGUGGUUUCAUUGUGCCCUCUCUUGAAUGAAGGUUUUUUACUUAAAGAUUUCUAUUGAAAGGACAUUUAUGGUCCCUCUCAAACAAGCUGCCCCACCAGGCCUGUCUCUUGGCUGGCUGCCGUCUAAUUGCCUGCUUGGUGUUGAUGAGCUCUUCGUGGCUCUAGCAAGUCCUUAAGUCUCUCUGGAGUUUGUGAGCAGAGCCACCCAGCCAAAAGCCAAGUCCAGCCAGAGGAAAACAUUGCAGAACUCUGGUGAGUGCUGUUCUGGUGCAGUUCUUUGAGGAGCUUUGGCCUCAGGUGUCUAGUUGCCAGGUGGGAGACGGCACCCUUGAGCUGUUUAGUCGAGCAACUCUGUGACCCUCCCUAAGGCAGGUAACUUGAACUUGCCUCUACUGUGCUAUUCGUGCCAUAGAAUCAAGCCUCAGUUCUUAAGUGUUUUUUUAAGAAAGCCUGCUUUUAAUCAAGUUCAUAGCAUUUGUUCUCCAUAUACGUUCUUUUUUUUUUUUUUUAACAUUUCAUUUAGGUGCAUGAAAGAAGAGUGGCUGUUAGAUGACUCUUAGCAGUUAAGAAGGAAUGGGUCCCUUGGGAGACAGUGCUGCAGCUCUGGUCCUCCCCCUAGGGGACAGGGACUUUUACUCAGGAAAUAGCUUUUACGUAUUUGGAUGUCCUCAGAAUCCUCCAUCUUCAAGGACAAUUUUAAAGUGACGUGUGUUGCUGCUUUUCCCAUGGAAUUUCAAAGGAAUGCAGUAGAUAGUGCUGCAUUGAAUUUUUUUUUUCUAAAAAUAGAAGCUCAUGAUUUAAACCUGAGUGUACCGAGUUUCUCUCUCUGAGAGGAAGGUUCUUUCAAACAUCCCAACUGAUUGUAUCUCUGGAUUUGUACAAGCCCUUAGACUGGAUAGAGUGACUGUCCCUAGCACUCAAGUCACAAUAAAAUGCUGUACUCAGCUUACUCCUAGGUGGCCUGGAUUUUUCCUAUUUCAUUUUCCUUUAGACAUUUUGUUGAGAGUGCAGUGACUUAGGAAUGUGGUGUCACAGCAUAGGAAGUGGUUCCCAGUCUGGCGUACUCGCAGGGAGAAGGGCCCCCCUGAGCUUUCCUAGUAUUUUCAGAUGAAAUGAAAGAGGACAUCUCUCUUCCCCCAUGGGAAAAUGAACCAGUAUAGCCAGGCUUUUGGAACGUGGGAUCUGAGAAGUGAAAUGAAAAAGACGUGCCGUGUUGGGUUAGGUGAUCCCCAGGUUCCUUUUAUCUGUCAAUGUCAGCCACACAGAACAUACAAAAGGCUGAAGUCCAGACGAGUUGAUGCAUAUUUGCAUGGACAUGGUGGUGACAGCCAACACAAAGUAUGUUUGGGUGGAAAUGCACAUGCCACACCUCCUGUUAGUUAUACCAUUUUGUCUUUGUAAUAACUCCUUGAAAGAGCAAAAAACUACCAGUUUUUGCUCAUUCUGGUCAAGUAUCCACCAACCUGAUCAGAAGUCUUCCAGCUGAAGUGAAGUGAACACUCCUGUGCAAGGCUGCCAUCACACACAGGCUCUUCCCUGGGAGGCUGGGCUCUCCUACCAGGCCAGUGGUUUUGAAGCUUCUCUUAUUUUAAAACUUGCAGCGUACCAGCUAAGAGGUGAGGGGUCCCAACUUAGAAGGAACCCUGCCCCUCCACCUUUUAUGUUUGCAGCUGGGAAUGGAAUCCAGAGCCUCACACAUACUAGGCAAGUGCCCUACCACGGAGCAGCACCCCAUCCCAGAGCCCCUUAAAUAUCAAAGAAACAUGAAGAAAGAUUCUGCUAGAAUUCCUCAAGGCUCUCUGGUAGUCCCUGGCCCAGCAGCAUCAGUGUCGCCUGGGAAGUUGUUGGAGCUGCCCUACCCCAGACCUACCUACUGAACCAGAAUUCUAAAAGUAGGGCCUGGUAGACUGUUUUAACAGCCUCCAAGGAACAAACCACUUGGCUUUUGUUUGUUUGUUUUGGUGGUGCCAGGGGUCAAGCCCAGGGCCUCAAGCAUAUGAUAUCACUAGGGGCUGGAGAGUGGUACUUAGCGUCACCCCUAAUUUAGCAUCACCCUUGAUGCCUGCUGAUGGUGGGCACAAUGUGCGGCCAGGCUCAGUAUAGUGGGCUGUGCCAUCUCUGAGGCCAUAGGUGCUCCCCUGCAGAGAAUCCACUGAGCCCUUCUUCCCUAUGCCCACAUGUGGCACCUGCAACAAAUGAAUGCCAAGAAAGCAAGAAUGGUCUGUUGGAAGCCGCACCCAGUGCUCCUCCUAAGCAUCUCCUCAUUUGAGCUGUCUCGGCCAAGGGCACCUUUGCUGAAGAACCAGCCCAGAAGGGAGCCAGGAAAGAGUGGAACCAAGGGACCCCCAGAUGGGAAUGCCAGCUGGGCAUCGAGCGCCUCAAACGAAAGAAUCAGCCCAGGGAGCACAGGGCCAACUGGAGUUCGGUGAAAGACACCUGUGGCGGGGACUU